GGAGGGUAUAGCUCAGUGGUAGAGCAUGUGCUUAGCAUGCAUGAGGUCCUGGGUUCAAUCCCCAGUACCUCCA
RNAcentral lists this transfer RNA (73 nucleotides) under Vicugna pacos (alpaca). RNAcentral's name for it is "tRNA-Ala (AGC) (tRNA-Ala-AGC-460-1)". It matches the Rfam family "tRNA". From Rfam's summary of the family: Transfer RNA (tRNA) molecules are approximately 80 nucleotides in length. Their secondary structure includes four short double-helical elements and three loops (D, anti-codon, and T loops). Further hydrogen bonds mediate the characteristic L-shaped molecular structure. tRNAs have two regions of fundamental functional importance: the anti-codon, which is responsible for specific mRNA codon recognition, and the 3' end, to which the tRNAs corresponding amino acid is attached (by aminoacyl-tRNA synthetases). tRNAs cope with the degeneracy of the genetic code in two manners: having more than one tRNA (with a specific anti-codon) for a particular amino acid; and 'wobble' base-pairing, i.e. permitting non-standard base-pairing at the 3rd anti-codon position. The record is from RNAcentral. Lineage: Eukaryota; Metazoa; Chordata; Mammalia; Artiodactyla; Camelidae.